Molecule: ribosomal RNA, 249 nt
Filed under: uncultured bacterium
Lineage: Bacteria
Description: partial 16S ribosomal RNA
Rfam family: Bacterial small subunit ribosomal RNA
Source: RNAcentral
CUCAACCUACGGGGCGCAGCAGUCGGGAAUAUUGCGCAAUGGAGGAAACUCUGACGCAGUGACGCCGCGUAUAGGAAGAAGGUUUUCGGAUUGUAAACUAUUGUCGUUAGGGAAGAAAAAAGACAGUACCUAAGGAGGAAGCUCCGGCUAACUACGUGACAACAGCAGCGGUAAUACGUAGGGAGCAAGCGUUAUCAGGAAUUAUUGGGUGUAAAGGGUGCGUAGACGGGAGUCUAAGUUAGUUGUGAA